Phascolarctos cinereus (koala) is the source of this 493-nucleotide non-coding RNA. Lineage: Eukaryota; Metazoa; Chordata; Mammalia; Diprotodontia; Phascolarctidae. The record is from RefSeq and is a predicted model, not a curated record.
GGCAGAAUCAUCUUAUAGCUGAAGAACUAAAGAUACCAUUCCAUGGCUAGCCAGGAGCUCUGGACUUGGUGAGCUGCUUGGGCAACAUGGGUCCAAGCCAAGGGAAAUGCUCUUUGGACUGGAAAGGGCCAAAUAAAGAAUGUGGACAGAAAUUUGAAAGUCAAGAUAAACGAAGAAGUGGUAAGAGGAAAACCAGCUGCCUUCAAUGAAUUCAAGUCGUCAAGCCUGGAUGAGACACACGCUAAGGAGCUAAGAGAGGCAGCAGAUGGAAUUGCUGAGCAGUUAAUGAUCCUGGAACUGUCCUUGAGAAGAAAAUGAGUGAAAAUAAGUUAAAAAAAAAUAGAAGAUGGAAUCUGCAGUCUAGAAAAUGAUCUUCAGGCUCUUCAUCGAGAAAGAGAGCUAGAGCCUCUGUUUUUAUACUUGAAAGCCUGCCAGCCCAGGAGCCCUUAAAAGCCAACAAAGAAUAAGGAUCUGUGUUUCCCGCAUAACAGUA